GCCGGCGUGGCUCAGUAGUUGAGCAUCUACCUAUAAACCAGGAGGUCAUGGUUCGAUUCCAGGUCAUGGCA
Molecule: transfer RNA, 71 nt
Filed under: Myotis davidii
Lineage: Eukaryota; Metazoa; Chordata; Mammalia; Chiroptera; Vespertilionidae
Rfam family: tRNA
About the family: Transfer RNA (tRNA) molecules are approximately 80 nucleotides in length. Their secondary structure includes four short double-helical elements and three loops (D, anti-codon, and T loops). Further hydrogen bonds mediate the characteristic L-shaped molecular structure. tRNAs have two regions of fundamental functional importance: the anti-codon, which is responsible for specific mRNA codon recognition, and the 3' end, to which the tRNAs corresponding amino acid is attached (by aminoacyl-tRNA synthetases). tRNAs cope with the degeneracy of the genetic code in two manners: having more than one tRNA (with a specific anti-codon) for a particular amino acid; and 'wobble' base-pairing, i.e. permitting non-standard base-pairing at the 3rd anti-codon position.
Source: Rfam by way of RNAcentral